ACUGCGCUGACGAGCUCCAAAAGGGCGAAACAGCUGUCCGCAGU
This 44-nucleotide non-coding RNA is filed under the name Paramuricea clavata. Lineage: Eukaryota; Metazoa; Cnidaria; Anthozoa; Malacalcyonacea; Plexauridae. The record is from RNAcentral.